UUAUUCAUUUAUUUGUUUAUAAUUAAAUAAUGAAACUUAUGUCAUCAAGAUGUGAAUUUUCCCCUUUUAAAAUAUUAAGCAAAUUUCAACUUUAAUUAUACUUGGUAAUUAAAGAUUUAAUUGGUAUUUGGAAGUUGAGGGAAAGGAGGAAUUUGGUGAAGAUAUUGGAGAAAUUUGAGAGAGAAGGGUGAAAUUUGGAAUUUAACAAAGAAGAGAAAAGAAGGGAAAUUAUUUUAUAAAAGGAAAAGAAAAGGAAAAAGAAAAGGAAAAGAAAAGGAAAAGAAAAGAGAAGAGGGAGAGAAGGGGAAACCCUAGCCGCCGCCGCCAAUCUCCACCGCCGCCGCCGCCGUCGCACGCCGCCGCAAGCCAGCCAUCGUAGAAGCCGCGUCGUACCGCGUCCGCCAGCCGAAGGAGCCGCGCCGCUUCGAUCUGAGGCAGGUCAGCCGAAACCCGUCGCGUCCCGAAGCCGAAUCCACCUCUGCGCCGAACGCGUCGCGAAGCCGAGAUCCACCUCCACGUCGAAGCCGCGUCGCCAGCCAUCGUCGUCUGCAUCCGAGCCGCGAACGCGUCUGCAAAUCCGAGCCGCGAACGCGCCUACACCCGAGCCGUAUCGAAGCCGCGAACGCGCCCGCCUCCAGCCGACGAACGAACCCGAACCCGGAACCGCCCGCGCGCUCGAACCUGGAACCGCCCGCGCGCCCGAACCCGGAACCGAACCCGCGCCCGUGCCACACGUGCCUGACUCUCCCGCGUGCAAGCGCGCCGCGCCGUGUGUUCCGCGUAGCCGAGCCGCGUCCCCUCCCUGUAGCAAGCCGAGCCGCACGCGAAGUCCCCAUACCGAGCCGAGCCGCGUCUGCACCAAGCCGAGCCGGUCCUGCCUUCUUCCAGCCGAGCCGCCAAGCCUGUUUUGGCUCCUUCCACCUAAAUUUUUGCAAAUUGGACCAAAUAGCUGCUGCAGCUUAGGACUUCCUCAGUAGGAACUCAUCUAGCAACAUCUCGAGGUAGAGGACGAGGCAAGGGCAAGGGCAAGCUGGCGAGCGACGUGAAGUGACCGUGGCGAGCCAUAGGGGUUUUCCUGCUUCCGCACAUGUUUUACCUUACAGUUAAAUUCAUGUUUCGGCUUUCUGCAUGUUUACUUUGGUUAUUUUUGUAGAUAGGGCCCGCUUAGGGAUUUUAAACUUAACUCGUAUUUCUACAUGUUACUUUAACUAUCUUUCAUAAAUACAUUUGCUAGAUUUCUUUGCAUUUAUUUACACC
Cucumis melo (muskmelon) is the source of this 1257-nucleotide long non-coding RNA. RefSeq lists it as uncharacterized. The transcript has 2 exons. Lineage: Eukaryota; Viridiplantae; Streptophyta; Magnoliopsida; Cucurbitales; Cucurbitaceae. The record is from RefSeq and is a predicted model, not a curated record.